Molecule: ribosomal RNA, 504 nt
Filed under: Triticum aestivum (bread wheat)
Lineage: Eukaryota; Viridiplantae; Streptophyta; Magnoliopsida; Poales; Poaceae
Description: partial small subunit ribosomal RNA
Source: RNAcentral
AUGCGGCUGGACAGGGCUACCAGCGCCAAGUGCUACAUGCUAUCGGCAAGGGCGCUCAAUAUUUCGAGGGGCGGGACCCGAGCAUGCUGGGAAUGGAUCGACCUCUGUUAUGAUGAGAUCCAAGGAAACAAGAGCUUCCGUGAAGCAGCUCAACUUCGGGGAGUUUGGUCGUUGGAAAUCCGUGGCAAAAUACAUAGCAGAAUGCUCUGCCGGAACUCCAUGUAUGCUGCUUACAUGCUGUUCAAGCUAGCCCAUGGGUUCACCAUGAUGGAUUUCCCGUUUCAAGAGGCAUCCAUCAGCUAUGGAGGCACUACUUCAAAACGGCAAGUUUGCCUCCAAGCCUACAUGGAGGAUGGGGAUGACGGCGUACCUCACAAACAUAUCUUGAAGUCAAGUUGGGAAAGCCGUCUGCCCCAUAGCUAUUCGCCCUGUUUGGUUCGGCUGUGGAUUUCUAAAAGCAGCUGUGAAAAAUCUGCUGUGGAAAAACAGCUGUGGAAAAUCUGA